AGAGUUUGAUCCUGGCUCAGAUUGAACGCUGGCGGCACGCCUAACACAUGCAAGUCGAACGGCAGCACGUUGCGGGGCAACCUGCGAUGGUGGCGAGUGGCGGACGGGUGAGUAGUGCGUAGGGAUCUGCCCUGAAGUGGGGGAUAACCCGAGGAAACUUGGGCUAAUACCGCAUAGACUCUGAGGAGUAAAAGCUGCGC
This 200-nucleotide ribosomal RNA is filed under the name uncultured bacterium. Its description in RNAcentral is "partial 16S ribosomal RNA". It matches the Rfam family "Bacterial small subunit ribosomal RNA", at positions 8 to 213 of the family's 1533-position model. The record is from RNAcentral.